GACAGAGGAGCCAAGCGUUGUCCGGAUUGACUGGGCGUAAAGCGCACGCAGGUGGUGGGGCAAGUGCCGUGUGAAAGCCGGUGGCUUAACUGCCGGAGGCCAUGGCAGACUGCCUGACUUGAGCCCGAGAGAGGUCCGUGGAAUUGCCGGUGUAGUGGUGAAAUGCGUAGAGAUCGGCAGGAACACCCAAGGAGAAAUCAGCGGACUGGCUCGGUGCUGACACUGAGGUGCGAAAGCGUGGGGAGCGAACAGG
RNAcentral lists this ribosomal RNA (253 nucleotides) under uncultured bacterium. RNAcentral describes it as "partial 16S ribosomal RNA". It matches the Rfam family "Bacterial small subunit ribosomal RNA", at positions 524 to 776 of the family's 1533-position model. The record is from RNAcentral.